UGCAGUCGUACGCACUGGCCCAACUGAUUGAUGGUGCUUGCACCUGAUUGACGAUGGAUCACCAGUGAGUGGCGGACGGGUGAGUAACACGUAGGUAACCUGCCCCGGAGCGGGGGAUAACAUUUGGAAACAGAUGCUAAUACCGCAUAACAACAAAAGCCGCAUGGCUUUUGUUUGAAAGAUGGCUUUGGCUAUCACUCUGGGAUGGACCUGCGGUGCAUUAGCUAGUUGGUAAGGUAACGGCUUACCAAGGCGAUGAUGCAUAGCCGAGUUGAGAGACUGAUCGGCCACAAUGGAACUGAGACACGGUCCAUACUCCUACGGGAGGCAGCAGUAGGGAAUCUUCCACAAUGGGCGCAAGCCUGAUGGAGCAACACCGCGUGAGUGAAGAAGGGUUUCGGCUCGUAAAGCUCUGUUGUUGGAGAAGAACGUGCGUGAGAGUAACUGUUCACGCAGUGACGGUAUCCAACCAGAAAGUCACGGCUAACUACGUGCCAGCAGCCGCGGUAAUACGUAGGUGGCAAGCGUUAUCCGGAUUUAUUGGGCGUAAAGCGAGCGCAGGCGGUUGCUUAGGUCUGAUGUGAAAGCCUUCGGCUUAACCGAAGAAGUGCAUCGGAAACCGGGCGACUUGAGUGCAGAAGAGGACAGUGGAACUCCAUGUGUAGCGGUGGAAUGCGUAGAUAUAUGGAAGAACACCAGUGGCGAANGCGGCUGUCUGGUCUGCAACUGACGCUGANGCUCGAAAGCAUGGGUAGCGAA
RNAcentral lists this ribosomal RNA (759 nucleotides) under Limosilactobacillus reuteri. RNAcentral's name for it is "bacterial SSU rRNA". It matches the Rfam family "Bacterial small subunit ribosomal RNA", at positions 56 to 772 of the family's 1533-position model. Lineage: Bacteria; Bacillati; Bacillota; Bacilli; Lactobacillales; Lactobacillaceae. The record is from RNAcentral.